UCAGGGACCUUUUGAUUGUAAUGGUUUUGAUUAAUCCACAGCAACAAAAGGCCUGGAAUAUUUAGAAAUGCUUUGUGGCGUUUUCAAAUUCUGACAGGUGUUGUGAUGAUUUAAAACUGAAAAAAGGAAAAAAAAGGACAUCAAGAAUGUAACUUCAUUCUCUUUCUAGAAACUCUCCUUCUCCUCACCUUGGCACAAUGUUAUAGAACCUGUUAUCACAGUGCCUUGCAAAGUUAUUAGUACCACGUUUUCACAUUUUGUCAAGUUGCAACUUAAAUAUUACUGUAUUUUUGAGGGUAUUUUAUGAGAUAGACCAACAGCAGUGGAAGAAAAAUGAUACAGAAUUUAAUUUUUUUUACAAAUUCAAUCUAAAAAGUAUGGCAAGCAUUGGUAUUCACCCCUGUUACUUUGAUGCCCUCAAAUAAAAUCUAGUGCAAUCAGUUUGUUUUUUUGAAGUCAUCUACUUUGUAAAUAGAGUCCACCAGCAGCUGUUGCUUGAAGGCCUAGCUGGUUUGUUUAAGAACAGGAUCAUCCUGAAAAUCAAAAAACUCAGAAAUAAAGUUGUGGACAAGGUAAUGUUAUGAAACAAUAUCCCUCCUUUAAACAUUGCAUUUUACAAAAAAUGGAAUGUGCAUAACUGCAAACCUGCCAUUACAUGGUCAUCCAACUGAAUUGACUGAGGAGCAGCUAAGAUGUCUGCAGGAGCUGGAGAGAUCCAUGGUCAGGCAAGAAUGGAGGAAUUUCAGUAUCGAUGGUAUGGACGCUCCAGCGCAGCACAGUCAUAGAUUGUGAACACCAGUCUAUGAUUUACCUCGAUUACCACAAAGCCCACUUUUCCACACCAUGCCCCAGUCAGCGCAGACAGGUCACCUCUGUCUUUUAAAGGACUUCGCCUGCAGACCUAGAUGUGUGCGACUUUCCUGAUCAUGUGUGAUUUGACACAGUCAUCUCUCAUCUCAUCUCCCAUCCAGAAGACGAGUACACCUCCUGAUGCUGCCACAAGCCCAAUAAGGGAUUGGCCUGGUUUUGACUCAUGCUUGUCACUUUUCAUAGCAUGCUGAGAUGUUCAUUGUAUGAAGAUGGAUGACACACACACAGUAUGCUUUGGCUUGACUGAACAGCAAUAAGGAAAAAAUGUGCAGUCUGCCUUGUCAGCAUAUCUUUCAUCCCUCACUCCCACCACUGAGCCAUUCUUUCUCUGACCUUGGACCACUGAAUUAACAGGGGACCCAGAUGAGCGUGCAUUCAUUUUAAUGGAUGGAUGUGUUUUACACUUUGUAGUUAAUGGCAGCACAAGUUAAGAGAUGAUGGUGGGCUACACUAACAGCCCGAAACUUUGCAAAUUAUGAUGCAGCAAAGCAAAGUUCUGGCUUCAAAGGCGUACAAAUUAAGCAUAAUGAUGCAAAAAUACUCAUACCCCUUGAUAUUUUACACAUUUUUUCAAAACCAUAAUCUUGCAUUUUAUUGGGAUUCUAUGUUAUUAGCAAACAUGUAUAAUAAGUCGGAGGAGACCGAAACUGAACUUUUUUGCUCAUGUGCAAUAUUUUAUGUGUGGUAGAAAACUAAAGCAGCUUUCAAACAUCUUGCCAUGGAUGGUGUUCUGUUUAAAAAAUAUGGGAUGCGGUACUUUUGC
Molecule: long non-coding RNA, 1633 nt
Organism: Girardinichthys multiradiatus
Lineage: Eukaryota; Metazoa; Chordata; Actinopteri; Cyprinodontiformes; Goodeidae
Exons: 4
Source: RefSeq, a predicted model, not a curated record